UACCCGUGCACUCGCGAUUCCGGUUUAUAGGAACUACAGCCGAUCUCGCGCGUUGGUUCGUGACUUGGUAACCUGUUCCCGGUAUCUGGUGUUGUUAUCGGUUAGCAUAAUUCUCGGUCGUCGUCGUUGCCGGUCUUGUACCGAUGAGAUCUGGUGCAACGGAGUUUGGUGAAACAGAUUAAGUGCAUCAGCAAUCCAGACGAACUACUGUAACAACAGCAACAACAAAGCAGUGAAGCAAAACGAAACCCAAAAAAUAUCGACCUGUUCAAGUGCGCAUAGGUGAAAAACGCAACUCCAAAACAUAAGAAGAUUAAUUACAAAGAUUGAAAGUGAAAACCGUUAACGAAAAA
This is a long non-coding RNA of Ochlerotatus camptorhynchus, 353 nucleotides long. RefSeq lists it as uncharacterized. Lineage: Eukaryota; Metazoa; Arthropoda; Insecta; Diptera; Culicidae. The transcript has 2 exons. The record is from RefSeq and is a predicted model, not a curated record.